This 359-nucleotide ribosomal RNA is filed under the name uncultured Glomus. RNAcentral describes it as "SSU rRNA". It matches the Rfam family "Eukaryotic small subunit ribosomal RNA", at positions 569 to 934 of the family's 1831-position model. Lineage: Eukaryota; Fungi; Glomeromycota; Glomeromycetes; Glomerales; Glomeraceae. The record is from RNAcentral.
AGCAGCCGCGGUGAUUCCAGCUCCAAUAGCGUAUAUUAAAGUUGUUGCAGUUAAAAAGCUCGUAGUUGAAUUUCGGGAUCAAUUUAUCGGUCGUGCCAAUGGUAUGAACUGGUACAAUUGGUUUCUCCCUUCUGACGAAGCAUGAUGUCAUUAAUUUGGUGUCGUGGGGAAUCAGGACUGUUACUUUGAAAAAUUAGAGUGUUUAAAGCAAGCAUUAGCUUGAAUACAUUAGCAUGGAAUAAUGAAAUAGGACGUCUGAUCCUAUUUCGUUGGUUUCUAGGAUCGACGUAAUGAUUAAUAGGGAUAGUUGGGGCAUUAGUAUUCAAUUGUCAGAGGUGAAAUUCUUGGAUUUAUUGAAG